This 914-nucleotide long non-coding RNA is filed under the name Homo sapiens (human). RNAcentral describes it as "HSALNT0354401". The record is from RNAcentral. Lineage: Eukaryota; Metazoa; Chordata; Mammalia; Primates; Hominidae.
AGAUGGAGUUCACUCUGUCACCUGGGGUGGAGUGCAGUGGCAUGAUCUCGGCUCACUGCAACCUCUGCCUCCCGGGUUUAAGCAAUCCUCUGUCUCAGCCUCCUGGGUAGCUGGGAUUACAGGCAUGCACCACCAUGCCUGGCUAAUUUUGUAUUUUUACAAAAUUAAAACCCCAGUAGAGACGGGGUUUCACCAUGUUGGUCAGGCUGGUCUCGAACUCCUGACUUCAGGUGAUCCACCCACCUCGGCCUCCCAAAGUGCUGGGAUUAUCCACCACGCCCGGCCUUGAUUUUUAUUUGAAAGCAAUAAUAGGUGCCAGAUGCCAUGAUAAGCCCUUUGCAUGCACUAUGUCAUUUAAUCCUCACGAUAACUAUACGAGUAUUUUUUAUUAGCACCCUCAUUGAACAGGUAAUGGCACUGCAGCACAGAAGGUAAAGUCAGUCUCUUGAGGCAGACCAAUGCACCAUACUGUACUGAGGACAGGUCUUCUUACUGCCUUUAGGAAGUACAGUCAUGCAUCACUUAAUGAUGAGGAUACUUUCUGAGAAAUGUUAGGCAAUUUUGUUGUGCACACAUAGAGUGUACUUACACAACCUAGAUGGCAUAGCCUCCUGUACACCUAGGCUAUGUGGUAAAGCCUGUUGCUCCUAGGCCACAAACAGGUAAGGCAUGUUACUGUACUGAAUACUGUAGGCAGUUAUAACACAACAGUAAGUAUUUGUGUAUCUAAACAUAGAAAAGGUAUGGUGAAAACAUGAUAUGAAAGAUUAAAAAAUGGUAUGCCUUUAUAAGGUACUUGCCAUAAACGGGACUUGCAGGACUGAGAGGUGCUCUGGGCGAGUCAGUGAGUGGGUGGUGAGUGAAUGUGAAGGCCUAGAACCUGUAGACGUUAUAAACACUGUAUGCUUACAAAU